Delphinapterus leucas (beluga whale) is the source of this 1493-nucleotide non-coding RNA. The record is from RefSeq and is a predicted model, not a curated record. Lineage: Eukaryota; Metazoa; Chordata; Mammalia; Artiodactyla; Monodontidae.
GCGGCCCCGGCUUUCGCUCAAGCUUCCGUGCCGGCUGCCCCGCCGUCCCCCUGUCCCCGGGACAAACCCCUUGACGCUGCUCGCUAGUCCUCCAGCUCGCGCGACUAGUGUCGUUUUCCUUCUUCGGGAGGAGCCCGGGGCGGGGGAAGGGGACCCUGGAACCCUGGGCUCAGCCGGUCACGCUGUCUACGGCCAGCGUGUGAGGGACGGGCACCGGGAAGGCGGCCCGGGGCAGCCGGCAGUGACUGGGAUCAGGCGGUCAGCGCGGUGCCUUCAAGGUCGACACUGGGGGAGAUUUUUCUCCCAUCACACGGUUGUCUGUGCGGAAAGCUUUGAGACUGGGGUGUCCUGCUGCUGAAUUCCACGGGAUGCUGAGGCUAUUGACGGAGGACGUUGCCAGGCAACCCGGACUCCUCCAUUUACUUUAACUUCUACCCUCUUUAUUAAACUUUAAUGUGGAAAAAGAUAUUAAGCAAAUUACCUUCCUUUCUUUUCGUGCCUAUCCUCACGUGUAAAAAUACCAGUGAGCAGAUAAAUGAUCAAAAGCCCAGCAAGAGUCAGGCCUUAGUGGUGUGGACCGAAUAGGCUAUGGACCGAAUAAUCUGCCCGUUAAUUGCAAAGAACCGGCGAAUUUCAGCAUAUCAAGCGCAGGGCAUUUCUGAACUCUUUAGCAUGUUUCCCAACUGGAGCAGCCUUUGGGAAGCUCCAAUGUGGCCAUAUGAAUCACAGUCAUACUGACAAGUGUUGCUAAUGGAAACACUAAAGGAUUUAAACAAAGAUUCAAAAGGGGAUAAGAAAUGGUGCCUUCUAUCUUCGUUGUUUCCACUGUUAGCUGAGUGCUUUGAAAAUCCGAAUUGUUCUGUCCGUGCAUAACAUCUGUUUGACUGAAACCUGGGGAGCUCGUUUCUCCUCUCUUAGAGUCUGCCUGCCUUUCAUCAUCUUCAGCUGAAAUCCCAACAUCUGGGCCUAAUUUCGGCCCUGAGGUGCCCUCCACGUUGUCUGAUGCAAGUCGAUCGCCGUCUGGGGAUGCUGGCGUGCUUGUGCUGGGUGGCAGGCGAAGGCUGCCCUGACGCUCUGGGACCAGGUGCGUUCUUUGGUCCUUCUCUUCCUUCACACGGAAGGAACCAACUUUUUUCCUGAACCCUGUCCCUGGUGGCAUGCAGCGGGAAGUAUCCUCAUACAACUCCUCCCCGUUGAAAAGAUACCUGUACAUGCUGUAGCCAUCGGCACUGUUGAUGCUGCUUUGCCUUAGAAGGUAUGUUGCAUCGCAUUCAGAAGAAGCCCGGGACCGGGUCUGUAUCAGGUCGGACUUGUCGAUUCCUGCGAGGUUUUCCAGCGCAUUCACCAUUCUGCUAGAUAGUUCUUCCAGUUGGGAAAGGCGAAGGUCAACAGUCUGCAGGGAAGUUUUCAUAAAGUUUUCUCUUUCGUUGAUUUCUUCCAACCUCAUGGACAUAUUUUCAACUCUGGCGGAUACAAAGGGAUAGGUUUAUUAC